This 23-nucleotide small nuclear RNA is filed under the name Arabidopsis thaliana (thale cress). Its description in RNAcentral is "snRNA_08571". The record is from RNAcentral. Lineage: Eukaryota; Viridiplantae; Streptophyta; Magnoliopsida; Brassicales; Brassicaceae.
ACGGCUCUCACAAAAUUCAGAUU